This 268-nucleotide long non-coding RNA is filed under the name Bos taurus (domestic cattle). RNAcentral's name for it is "long non-coding RNA NONBTAT017383". The record is from RNAcentral. Lineage: Eukaryota; Metazoa; Chordata; Mammalia; Artiodactyla; Bovidae.
ACAUGAAAGCCAUUUUGAAGGGGUCCUUCUUGACCAAAUUUGGACAUCAAAGAGAAUACUGCUAGUUUUUGUUUUUUUUUUUAAUUGAAAGAGAACAUUUGCCAUCCUUAAAGCUGAUUUUUUAUAUUAACUUCCUAUUCUUAGGGAAAUGUAUUAAGUCAUCCUGCAUUCACAUAACUAACAUCUUAAGACAAUGAAGAAAAACAUCUUAUAGAAAAAUGCCCUGUAGAAGAAAUAACAGAAUUAGAGCAAGUGAGCUGCAGGGACC